CCUACAGAAAGCCAAUUUCAGUUCGGAUUGUAGGCUGCAACUCGCCUACAUGAAGUUGGAAUCGCUAGUAAUCGCGAAUCAGAAUGUCGCGGUGAAUACGUUCCCGGGUCUUGUACACACCGCCCGUCACACCACGAGAGUUUACAACACCCGAAGUCAGUGGCCUAACCGCAAGGAGGGAGCUGCCUAAGGUGGGGUAGAUGAUUGGGGUGAAGUCGUAACAAGGUACC
RNAcentral lists this ribosomal RNA (230 nucleotides) under uncultured bacterium. RNAcentral's name for it is "partial 16S ribosomal RNA". It matches the Rfam family "Bacterial small subunit ribosomal RNA", at positions 1271 to 1500 of the family's 1533-position model. The record is from RNAcentral.